GAUACAGUAUGAAUGCAUAUAUAACAAGCAGUAAGUCGUCUAAUACUGUGACUGAAUAUGUGGUGCACAAUAACUAGUUCCACAGAUUAAGGCAUCGAUGGAGUUGACAGCUGGAGGCCCUGCAAAGGCCUGAGACUCAACUAGAUCGGGCGCUGCUCCAAGAGGCCGUGCGAGAUUCAGGCAAACGCCUCCGUUGCCAUGCGGUGAGAACGGAGAGGUUGAGAAGGAGUUUCUUCCCAGAGGCAAUUCGGACUGUAAACGCCUAUCUCACCAGGGACUAACUCUACUGAACGUUUUUCCUUCCAUUAUUUAUUAUGUAAAAGAAUAUGUGUGUUAUGAUUGUGUUUAUAAUUUGUUUGGUUGUUUUGUUGUUUGUCUUUUUGCACAAAAGUCCGCGAGCAUUGCCACUUUCAUUUCACUGCACAUCUCGUAUGUGUAUGUGACAAAUAAACUUGACUUGACUUGACUUGACUU
Long non-coding RNA from Leucoraja erinaceus (little skate), 474 nucleotides. RefSeq lists it as uncharacterized. The record is from RefSeq and is a predicted model, not a curated record. The transcript has 3 exons. Lineage: Eukaryota; Metazoa; Chordata; Chondrichthyes; Rajiformes; Rajidae.